RNAcentral lists this transfer RNA (55 nucleotides) under Candidatus Sodalis pierantonii str. SOPE. RNAcentral describes it as "Candidatus Sodalis pierantonius str. SOPE tRNA-Gly". It matches the Rfam family "tRNA", at positions 2 to 55 of the family's 71-position model. Rfam says of the family: Transfer RNA (tRNA) molecules are approximately 80 nucleotides in length. Their secondary structure includes four short double-helical elements and three loops (D, anti-codon, and T loops). Further hydrogen bonds mediate the characteristic L-shaped molecular structure. tRNAs have two regions of fundamental functional importance: the anti-codon, which is responsible for specific mRNA codon recognition, and the 3' end, to which the tRNAs corresponding amino acid is attached (by aminoacyl-tRNA synthetases). tRNAs cope with the degeneracy of the genetic code in two manners: having more than one tRNA (with a specific anti-codon) for a particular amino acid; and 'wobble' base-pairing, i.e. permitting non-standard base-pairing at the 3rd anti-codon position. The record is from RNAcentral. Lineage: Bacteria; Pseudomonadati; Pseudomonadota; Gammaproteobacteria; Enterobacterales; Bruguierivoracaceae.
CGGGAAUAGCUCAGUGGUAGAGCACAAUCUUGCCAAGGUUGGGGUCGCGAGUUCG